AGACCAAAGUGGGGGACCUUCGGGCCUCACACCAUCGGAUGUGCCCAGAUGGGAUUAGCUAGUAGGUGGGGUAAUGGCUCACCUAGGCGACGAUCCCUAGCUGGUCUGAGAGGAUGACCAGCCACACUGGAACUGAGACACGGUCCAGACUCCUACGGGAGGCAGCAGUGGGGAAUAUUGCACAAUGGGCGCAAGCCUGAUGCAGCCAUGCCGCGUGUAUGAAGAAGGCCUUCGGGUUGUAAAGUACUUUCAGCGGGGAGGAAGGCGGUGAGGUUAAUAACCUUGCCGAUUGACGUUACCCGCAGAAGAAGCACCGGCUAACUCCGUGCCAGCAGCCGCGGUAAUACGGAGGGUGCAAGCGUUAAUCGGAAUUACUGGGCGUAAAGCGCACGCAGGCGGUCUGUUAAGUCAGAUGUGAAAUCCCCGGGCUUAACCUGGGAACUGCAUUUGAAACUGGCAGGCUUGAGUCUCGUAGAGGGGGGUAGAAUUCCAGGUGUAGCGGUGAAAUGCGUAGAGAUCUGGAGGAAUACCGGUGGCGAAGGCGGCCCCCUGGACGAAGACUGACGCUCAGGUGCGAAAGCGUGGGGAGCAAACAGGAUUAGAUACCCUGGUAGUCCACGCCGUAAACGAUGUCGACUUGGAGGUUGUGCCCUUGAGGCGUGGCUUCCGGAGCUAACGCGUUAAGUCGACCGCCUGGGGAGUACGGCCGCAAGGUUAAAACUCAAAUGAAUUGACGGGGGCCCGCACAAGCGGUGGAGCAUGUGGUUUAAUUCGAUGCAACGCGAAGAACCUUACCUGGCCUUGACAUCCAGAGAACUUAGCAGAGAUGCUUUGGUGCCUUCGGGAACUCUGAGACAGGUGCUGCAUGGCUGUCGUCAGCUCGUGUUGUGAAAUGUUGGGUUAAGUCCCGCAACGAGCGCAACCCUUAUCCUUUGUUGCCAGCGAUUCGGUCGGGAACUCAAAGGAGACUGCCGGUGAUAAACCGGAGGAAGGUGGGGAUGACGUCAAGUCAUCAUGGCCCUUACGGCCAGGGCUACACACGUGCUACAUCAUGGCCCUUACGGCCAGGGCUACACACGUGCUACAAUGGCGCAUACAAAGAGAAGCGACCUCGCGAGAGCAAGCGGACCUCAUAAAGUGCGUCGUAGUCCGGAUUGGAGUCUGCAACUCGACUCCAUGAAGUCGGAAUCGCUAGUAAUCGUAGAUCAGAAUGCUACGGUGAAUACGUUCCCGGGCCUUGUACACACCGCCCGUCACACCAUGGGAGUGGGUUGCAAAAGAAGUAGGUAGCUUAACCUUCGGGAGGGCGCUUACCACUUUGUGAUUCAUGACUGGGGUGAAGUCGUAACAAGGUAACCGUAGGGGAACCUGCGGUUGGAUCACCUCCUUACC
Molecule: ribosomal RNA, 1392 nt
Filed under: Pantoea dispersa
Lineage: Bacteria; Pseudomonadati; Pseudomonadota; Gammaproteobacteria; Enterobacterales; Erwiniaceae
Description: bacterial SSU rRNA
Rfam family: Bacterial small subunit ribosomal RNA
Source: RNAcentral